Numida meleagris (helmeted guineafowl) is the source of this 3762-nucleotide long non-coding RNA. Lineage: Eukaryota; Metazoa; Chordata; Aves; Galliformes; Numididae. The record is from Ensembl.
AGCACCCGUGACUCAGAGCGGUAUUUGCAUAUCCUUGAUCAAGGAAAAAAAAAAGUGACUGGGAGCUCAAGAAGAGCGGGAUCUGGGAAGAGGCAAAAAGAAAAGUAUAGUCAGAAGUGGGUGAGGCUUUCCUCCCCUGGAACGUGCUGCUUUGCACCUGGAAAUGUCUGCCUAGGCACAGCCCCACCACCGCCCACUCUCCUCCCCAUGCUGGAUAUUCCCAUGCAGGCUGAUACAAGCAAGCAGAGACUGUGGGAUCUGGCUUUACCCUGUCUGGGCAAGAUGACUUUCUCAAGAUCAUCUUACACAUCCAUGCUAAUGCAGACAACAGAGGUUUUGUUACUCCCACAUUCUCCUUCUCUCUGCAGACCCUGGACACACAUCCUUUGGUUAUCUGCAUGAAUAGGUUAGCUUUAUUUUCUUACAUUAACAACCUUUUGCUGCAAGAGAAUGUUGUAACUGGAUAUUGAUCUGUUUAAAAGAAAUCAGACAGGUCAUAUCUCUUCCCCAUGGCUCUGGUAGAGUAAAAGGAUGGCGGAGCUCCCCUCUGCCUCACUACACCACAUUUUACUUCUCAGCUGCCUCAUGCACUGAGUCUUUCUCUUCACUGUGAUGACCUUUCCCAGUUUUAUUUUUUGAUGGUCUCUUCCCUUUCUGUAUGUGGUAGACUUAGCCCUCCCUAUUCUCAUUCUGUUUCUUUCCUUCCUUCCUUCCCUUUUUGAGGCCUUUGAGGAUAAUUUUUGCUGAAGAUUUCUACAAGAAAUUCAGAGGAACUUAAAACCACAAGAUACACAAACAGCAAGUCUUAAGAUUCAAACUUCAAGGUUCGGACUCAUUUUAAGGCAUGGAAACAGCAUGGAAAACCACAGCCCAGUGCCCUCAAAUUUAUCAGCCUUCCUAGUAAUUGGAAAUUAAGUUUUAGAGCCAAGAUGCCAGGUCAGUGUGAACAAUCAGAAGUGGUCCCAGCUCAACCCAUCACUGUUUCCGGGCAGUUUGAUUGAAAUGUCAGCUCUCCUGGAUCUGAUCAUCCAGCACACAAGCUGCAGAAUGUGUGACUGUUCAUUUCAGCGCCUUAUCGCUCUCAUCUUACACUUAGUCCUUUCCAAUAGACUUUGCUGUUUGUCAUGUAGAUACUUAUUAACCCAAAUUAAUCAUUUGGACAUCACUGGCUUGGUUUCUUAUCUGGAAAUUAUAUUGUGAUCAUAUUUUACAUGCACACACAAAUUAAUGCAUGAAACAGAAAAGAAGACCCUGCUAAGCCCAGGCAGUAUAACAAAUACUUCCUCUUCCAGGUGACACAUCUGCAAGGCCUCCCUAUUAAUGCAUAUUUUCACCAACAUUUAUUGAGAUGAAAAUAAGUUCUUGGGAUGCCUCAUUUUUAAACACACCGACCCUGUGAAAGGUUCUCUACAGGCACAGACCAGUAAUUGUCAGUCUAAAAAGGCAACUGUACUAUGUAGUAAAUGUCUGUGUCCAUGCAAAACACACAUAGAAAUCAGUAUAUGCACAUAGAGUUUGUUCAGUAGUUGGUGGUCCUCAGACCUUUCCCAUCUUCUGUCAAAUAUAUCAAAUCACAUCUCCUGAUCUCCAAGAUUAUCCAAAAUCACAGGAUUUACCUUGCACUGUCCUGCAUACACAGUAUACUGCAACACCACACCCUGUUUCCAGCCCAUUAAAACAAGAGCCAAGCUAAUGAAUCCUUUAAUAAGGUCAUCAACCACCCCAGGGCACCGUACAUGACUAAUUGGGUAGAUAGUCACAUGCAGGGCAUCAUCUCUUCAAGCUGGAAGACUGGGGCAGUGUGCUGCAGGUGAGACCUACCCUUGCCAACCAAGCUAUACAAUUAUGGGUGGGGUUGCAGACCCUCACCUUUAUAUCGUGAGUUCUCCCAUUGCACAAGCCAACCCUUCACUCAUCUCUUGUCAUGUGGCUCUGUGUCCCACAUGCUGCAGUGGGUCCUUCCAUCAAGCCAUUCUGCAAGGAAUCUGAGGCAAAGAAAAACAGCUGAUUAGGGGAAAAAAAAAAACACAAGAAAAAGGCAAAUAUCUGCAAGCAGAUGACUCAGGAGUGAGAUGGAGAGGGCAUCAGAAAAGGAUGCCGAGGUACACACCAGGUAACAUCACCAGUACUGUGAGGUGCCCAUAGGUGCUCUGCUCAGAUGUGUAAGUGGAAGCAGACCCAUGGCCACUGCAAACACAGGUCCUCCUCCUGACUGAGUGAUUGCUGAAUAGAUUGCGAGUAAACAGAACAACUCAACAUCUGUGAUUCUCUAUCAUGCUCCUCUUGCAGAAUUACUAUUAGGAGUGCCAAUGUUGCCUCUUCGACUGCUUGCAUGCUCAAGAGAAGGCAGCCGAUGCUCCCAAUGAUAGUAAGACUGUUCCUGGCAUUUGCAAACAUAUCUUCACAUGGAAACUUCCCCUCCAAGGCCAGGGAGGUCUGGUUUUGCUCCUAUUCUCUUAUUCCAUUCUCCCUCCAUGCUGGUUCCUGAAAAUGGAUCAUGUGUAUUUGUAUUAGUAGUAAAGCUGACUGCAUUUUUUUCCAAUGGAGGAAUCCCAUGGAACUUCCUUUUCCCGACUCCAUACGUUGUUGAUUGAUUAAAAUUUUUCAGUGUUUUUGUCUUUUUAAACACCAAAAACUUCAUUUUCAAUUCUGGAAUCCCGAAGAGUAAUUUUUAUGGCAUUAUUUGAAACAAAUACAAUAGAAAGCAUGUAUAUAUUUGGGGAUCAGUUUUGUUUGUCAGGAUUAUGCUGUGUCUGUCCUGCUAUAGUACAUUUAUGAUGAAUCUCAGGAUAUUGCUGGAGACUGGAAUUGGCAGUCCACUUCUGCUCUUUCACAGAUGAUUACAGCAGUGCUUCUGAAAGCAGGAUAGAAUGGUUUAAGCUAACAGUACUCAUCUGAGCGAAGAAAAUCAUUAAGUGCAAUGUGACACAAAGAUUGCUGUUUAUUGUCAGAACUGGUAGUCAAACAUAAAUGUUGGAUUUACAAGAUAGACCAAGUAAAGACAGUGAAUCCCUUUGAUCUAUAAACCAGAUCUGCGCAGCUGACUGUUACUGACAGACUGAAUCCAUGCAGUCCUUGGAUGAAUACCCAUCUUCCUUCAGAGAGCCAGAGAGGGGCAUAGAAAAGUAGAUAAUAUAUUCUCUGUUCAUAAUAAUAACAAUAAUAAUGCAAAGAAUAUAAACACUGACCUCAGAUUUCAGUCACCAUGGGGAAAAGCACUAAUCAAUGGGAGUUUCAUUGUCUGAUAGAUAGCACUUCAGUAAUUGUACAGAGGAAGUAGAAACAAAUCCAUAAUGCCUAUAGUUCAGCUCACCAGGCACCAAAAGCCAACCACUUUCAAUCUAGAAAGGCACAGCAUAUGUUCUUGCAAAGAUGCACAGUAUAUUUGCAGCUGUGUGGGUGAUGAGGUCCCGCACAGAGAAGUCAUGGAUGCCCCAUCCAUGAAGGCAUUCAAGAUUGGGUAGGAUGGGACACUGGACAGCCUGGUCUGGUGGGUGGCAGCCCUGUCUACAGCAGGGUGUUGGAACUAAAUGAUCAUUAAGGUCCCUUCCAACCCAAGCCAUUCUGUGAUCCAAUCCUUAAUGUUUAUGUAUGUAUCUUCAAUGUAUUCUUCAAGGAAAACAGGAGGGAAAACCUACACAUACACAGACAUUGUUCAUUUAGCUGGUGAUGACACAAUUCGUGCUGACUAUGAAAGUUGAUUUAAUCUCCUCCUAGAUUGUCAGCAAUAAAAUACAUAUAUAUAAAUGUGGUCCUAUUGCU